GAUAGUUCAGCUGGUCAGAGCAGGAGACACUUAAUCUCAGGGUUGUGGGUUUGAGCCCCACAUUGGGUGAAAGAUUCCU
Non-coding RNA from Podarcis lilfordi (Lilford's wall lizard), 79 nucleotides. The record is from the annotation of a GenBank genome assembly. Lineage: Eukaryota; Metazoa; Chordata; Lepidosauria; Squamata; Lacertidae.